Long non-coding RNA from Melospiza melodia melodia, 744 nucleotides. RefSeq lists it as uncharacterized. The record is from RefSeq and is a predicted model, not a curated record. NCBI's taxonomy places the organism in Eukaryota, Metazoa, Chordata, Aves, Passeriformes, Passerellidae. The transcript has 2 exons.
CGUCUCAGCUCCUCCGCAUCUCAGCUCCUCAGUAUCUCCUCUCAAGCUCCUUCUGGUCCAGCAGGUCUCCAACCAUGUCCUCCCGCCAGGACAAGGAACGCUCCUCCGAGCACAGCGGCGAAUCCCGUUGCCUCUGGGACAUUUUCAGACCCAAUAACCAGGCAAGUGGUGGUGGAUCCAGUAGCCACGCAAACAGUGGCGGAUCCGGUAGCCAUGGGAGCGGUGGUGGAUCCAGUAACCAGGCAAACAGUGGCGGAUCCGGUAGCCACGGGAGCGGUGGUGGAUCCAGUAGCCACGCAAACAGUGGCGGAUCUGUUAGCCACGCAAGCAGUGGCGGAUCUGGUAGCCACGCGAGCACUGGUGGAUCCGGUAGCCAUGGGAGCAGUGGUGGACCCGGCUGUCAUGUGAACAGUAGCGGAUUCAAUUUCUACGGGAACGUAUCUGGCAGCCACGGGAGCAGCGGAGCCGGAUUCCACGGGGCCAGCAUAGCGUCCUGCCAUGGAAAUACGGAGGUGUGCCUCCAAAACAUCCAACGAAAACCCUCGGAUGACAAGUGAUAACCCCACCAGCUGCAGGUGAUCCACAGGAGUGCCCUGGAUCCUGUGCCACGUUCUGAAAGCUUUGCAUAUGCCCAGGAAUUUCCAAUUCCCAAGGACAAUGUGUCCUUCCCCUCCCCUGGUGUGUCCUGUAACCUGUCCUGAGCUUGUCUGUGGGUGCUGAAAUAAACGCUUUGCUCAGCUGGCA